AUUAGAUACCCGGGUAGUCCACGCCCUAAACGAUGGGUGCUAAAUGUCGGAACAUUAGUUUCGGUAUUGUAGCUAAGAGCAGUGACUGGGGUG
This 93-nucleotide ribosomal RNA is filed under the name uncultured bacterium. RNAcentral's name for it is "partial 16S ribosomal RNA". The record is from RNAcentral.